RNAcentral lists this ribosomal RNA (540 nucleotides) under Triticum aestivum (bread wheat). RNAcentral's name for it is "partial small subunit ribosomal RNA". Lineage: Eukaryota; Viridiplantae; Streptophyta; Magnoliopsida; Poales; Poaceae. The record is from RNAcentral.
AUGACACAUUCCCACACCAUCAAAAGCCAUCACAAUGUAGGUGGUCUUCCUGAAGAUAUGAAAUUGAAGCUCAUUCAACCACUCAAGCUCCUAUUUAAGGAUGAGGUGCGGAAGUUGGGUAGUAUCUUAAAUAUCCCAGAGUCAUUCUUAAAGCGACAUCCAUUUCCCGGGCCUGGUCUUGCUGUACGUAUCCCAUCAGGUGAUGUUAUAGAAGGCAAUGCUUUGGAGGGUCUUCGUCAGGCGGAUGAGAUGUAUGUUCAAGCCAUUAGAGAUGCAGGACUCUAUGAUACAAUUUGGCAAGCUUUUGCUGUGCUUUUGCCUGUCGAAACAGUUGGGGUCCAGGGUGACCAGAGAACUUACGGCUAUCCGGUUAUUUUAAAGGCAAUUACCAGUGAGGAUGGCAUGACUGCAGAUUGGUAUUAUUUUGAACGCAAGUUCCUGGCCGAUGUGUCGAGUAGGAUCUGCAACAAUGUGCGAGGCGUUAACCAUGUUUGCCUAGAGAUAACAUCAAAGCCACCAGCGACAGUGGAGUGGGAAUAG